This 387-nucleotide ribosomal RNA is filed under the name uncultured bacterium. RNAcentral's name for it is "bacterial SSU rRNA". It matches the Rfam family "Bacterial small subunit ribosomal RNA", at positions 28 to 416 of the family's 1533-position model. The record is from RNAcentral.
AACGAACGCUGGCGGCGUGCUUAACACAUGCAAGUCGAGCGGUAAGGCCCUUUCGGGGGUACACGAGCGGCGAACGGGUGAGUAACACGUGGGUGACCUGCCCUCAGCUCUGGGAUAAGCCUGGGAAACUGGGUCUAAUACUGGAUAUGACUCCACGGUGCAUGUCGUGGGGUGGAAAGCCUUGUGCGGCUGAGGAUGGGCCCGCGGCCUAUCAGCUUGUUGGUGGGGUGANGGCCUACCAAGGCGACGACGGGUAGCCGGCCUGAGAGGGCGACCGGCCACACUGGGACUGAGACACGGCCCAGACUCCUACGGGAGGCAGCAGUGGGGAAUCUUGCGCAAUGGGCGAAAGCCUGACGCAGCGACGCCGCGUGAGGGAUGACGGCC